This is a long non-coding RNA of Pezoporus flaviventris, 571 nucleotides long. RefSeq lists it as uncharacterized. NCBI's taxonomy places the organism in Eukaryota, Metazoa, Chordata, Aves, Psittaciformes, Psittacidae. The record is from RefSeq and is a predicted model, not a curated record. The transcript has 4 exons.
AACAAAGUCAUCAUGGGUGUUCCCUGUGCUGCUGCCACUGGAGCCCUCCGAGUGUAAGCUGCCUUGUAGAGGAGAUUCAGUUUCUGGGGAGUCAGGAGGAUUGACCUGCCCAAGAAAUCAAAGAUGGUCUGUGCUGCACCCUUAGAAUAAAGGGGACCCAGACUGAGGUGCAAUUCAAACACCCUGAUGUGAAGAGAGAACUCCAUCAACCAGAGUGAUGUUCCAGAGUUUUCAGUUUAGGACAGCUUUGUUUCUGUGUAUUGCUCAUGGACAGACUUUCUCCUGAAUUUUUGGCUACUCAACAACAUAAAGACAUGCUAUGCAAGCUCACAGGGAGAAGAGAUCACUCUGCCAAGACAACCUUACAAUUCUAAUUGUGGUAGCAAAGACUGGCUUUAUAAAUAAGCGCACAGCAUAUGGCAGCUAUGAGCUACAGAAAAGCAAGAACGUAGGCUCAUACUCAAUGUGAAUCCUCAAGGUUUGUCUGGUUUCAUAAAACUUUUCCCCUCAGUGACAGCAAAGCUUCAUGUACCCUGGGGAGAUGUCAACCUCAAUGUAUUUACAUUGUAUU